UACGUAGGGAGCAAGCGUUGUCCGGAUUCAUUGGGCGUAAAGGGUGCGUAGGCGGUCGUGCAAGUCGGAUGUGAAAUCUCAGGGCUCAACCCUGAAACUGCAUUCGAUACUGCGCGGCUAGAGUGCUGGAGGGGAGACUGGAAUUUACGGUGUAGCAGUGAAAUGCGUAGAUAUCGUAAGGAAGACCAGUGGCGAAGGCGAGUCUCUGGACAGCAACUGACGCUGAGGCACGAAGGCCAGGGGAGCAAACGGG
This 253-nucleotide ribosomal RNA is filed under the name uncultured bacterium. RNAcentral's name for it is "partial 16S ribosomal RNA". It matches the Rfam family "Bacterial small subunit ribosomal RNA", at positions 524 to 776 of the family's 1533-position model. The record is from RNAcentral.